This 365-nucleotide long non-coding RNA is filed under the name Malus domestica (apple). Its description in RNAcentral is "long non-coding RNA (MDOM_LNC001085)". The record is from RNAcentral. Lineage: Eukaryota; Viridiplantae; Streptophyta; Magnoliopsida; Rosales; Rosaceae.
CUGAGAUAAGAUAUUGUGUUUGGUAGGUUACUGUGUUUGCUCCUCCUCAUCCAACUUUGAAUCGCAUAGAGGUUAAAUUAUCACUAUGCUUCUCUUCUCAACAUCGUUUUGCCUUCCGGUAUUUGCAAAAACAUCUAAACAGUGUGCCUGACAAAUUAUUUAGGUGCCAGAUUGACGAACAAACACAAACAAUUACAGGUAUGUUUGAUUACUAUUUAGUUUUUUAUUUUUAUUUUUUGUGUUAGUGACAUGGGAAAAAUAAUUGGAAAAAAAAAAGAGGGAUGAAGAAGAGUGAAUGAAGGAUACCUUCACGCUGUAAUCAACAUUUGUAACAUUUACUGAAUACAGGUAAGAUAUGUAUUGGA